Molecule: long non-coding RNA, 619 nt
Organism: Canis lupus familiaris (dog)
Lineage: Eukaryota; Metazoa; Chordata; Mammalia; Carnivora; Canidae
Exons: 4
Source: RefSeq, a predicted model, not a curated record
AUCACGACAAGAGCUGAAGGCAGAUGCUUCACUGACUGAGCCACCCAGAUUUUAUCCUCAAGGUGUCCUGCUCACCUGCUUUGAAGCUUGCCGGCUGGCUCCUGGCUUCCCUCUUCCGAUCCCUGAUCUGGUACAAUGAGAGACAAGUGUUAGAUCGGAUGGAUGGAGAAUCAGAUGAUUUCAAGAAUUCAAACAUCAUGCCUUCCAAAGCUGCUGAAAACAUCCAUGAACAGUCAUCUGUGUUUGCAGAACGAUUGGGACUUGCCUAAAAUAGACAACGGUGUAUUCAAGUGGGUAUAUUUGUGGAGGUGUGGACAAGGCUGGAGAUCUGAGGAAAUGAGGAAAAGCAGCAUUGCAACAAACCUUCCUUGUCUUGUUUUAACAAAGAAGAAUCACUCUCUCUCCCCAGUCUCCAGACACAUGCCUUUCCCAUUAUGUGCUAGAUGGAAGUUACAGGAGGUACAGUGAAUAUGGGGAGACUGAAACCAAAAGUAUGGCCAUUGAGGAAGAUUAAACUCAACUUGACCUCGAAGGCUGAUGGAAAAAUGAUGAUUAGAAAGAGGAUAUGCAUAUCUAAAUUGCAUUUUAUCUCUAUUACAGUCUAACGACAUUACUAACA